Non-coding RNA from Vicugna pacos (alpaca), 721 nucleotides. NCBI's taxonomy places the organism in Eukaryota, Metazoa, Chordata, Mammalia, Artiodactyla, Camelidae. The record is from RefSeq and is a predicted model, not a curated record.
AGCAGGAGGACGGGAGAUAAAGACUGAGAAGAGGGGACUAAUAAGAUGACCCAUAGGAGAGGCGUCUCCUUGAACGUCAAAGGUCCUCUUUGCUCCGUGUUGUUCUAUUUCUCUUUUUCAGUGGCGGUACUGGGGAUUGAACCCAGGACCUCGGGCAUGCUAAGCACACACUCUACCACUAAGCUAUACCCUCCUCUCAUAUGAUACUUUUUAAAUUAAAAUCACUUAAUAAUGUAGGUGGGUGGAGUUCAGGAAUCCAUUAAGGCAGUGAAACUCUUCCAUGUGACAACGUUGGCAGAUACGAGACAUUUUGUGUGUCUUUAUGAAAAGCCACAGAAGGCACAACCCAAACAGUGAACCCUAAUGCAAACUGAAGACUUUAGUUCAUAACAGUGCAUCCGUAUUGGCUCUCCAAUGGUUAUCUGUAAACCCAACACUGUUCUAAAAAAUAAAAUCUACUCAUGAGGGGGGAGAAAAAUCAAUAGCGGUACAAAUUUAAAAAUCCUUGUCUGAAAGGAAGCAACUUAAGAGGAAGAAAUGGCCAAAGAACAGAUGGAACACAUUGAAACACACACACACACACACACGCAAGCAAAAACCAAGGGCAAUACAGUUGAUUUAAAGCUAACCAUAUGGAUAACUGUGUUGAACACAAGUGCUCUAACACACCAACUAAAAUUCAGACAUGGUCAGACUGUAUUUAAAAAAACAAAAAGCAAGA